Molecule: ribosomal RNA, 480 nt
Filed under: uncultured bacterium
Lineage: Bacteria
Description: bacterial SSU rRNA
Rfam family: Bacterial small subunit ribosomal RNA
Source: RNAcentral
GGCUCAGGAUGAACGCUGGCGGCGUGCUUAACACAUGCAAGUCGAACGAAGAUGCCGGAGUGCUUGCACUUUGGCAGACUGAGUGGCGGACGGGUGAGUAACGCGUGGGUAACCUGCCUUAUACAGGGGGAUAACAUUUGGAAACAGAUGCUAAUACCGCAUAAGAUUACAGUACCGCAUGAUACAGUGAUCAAAGGAGCAAUCCGCUGAAAGAUGGGCUCGCGUCCGAUUAGAUAGUUGGUGAGGUAACGGCUCACCAAGUCGACGAUCGGUAGCCGGACUGAGAGGUUGAACGGCCACAUUGGGACUGAGACACGGCCCAGACUCCUACGGGAGGCAGCAGUGGGGAAUAUUGCACAAUGGGCGAAAGCCUGAUGCAGCAACGCCGCGUGAGGGAAGACGGUUUUCGGAUUGUAAACCUCUGUUUUCGGUGACGAACAAAUGACGGUAACCGAGUAGGAAGCCACGGCUAACUACGUG